This is a small nuclear RNA of Leptidea sinapis, 103 nucleotides long. NCBI's taxonomy places the organism in Eukaryota, Metazoa, Arthropoda, Insecta, Lepidoptera, Pieridae. The record is from RefSeq and is a predicted model, not a curated record.
CUCGAGUGAAUAUGGAGCGGGCUUUACUGGAACGAUAGAGAGAAGAUAAGCACGGGUCCUGCGCCAGGAUGACUCGCAAAGUGAUGAGGCGUUCCUUAUCUCG